Solea solea (common sole) is the source of this 758-nucleotide long non-coding RNA. RefSeq lists it as uncharacterized. The record is from RefSeq and is a predicted model, not a curated record. Lineage: Eukaryota; Metazoa; Chordata; Actinopteri; Pleuronectiformes; Soleidae. The transcript is spliced from 3 exons.
UUAGCUGAUGACCGCGGAUUCCUCCAGCCAACGUCGGUUCAGUGCUGUUACUUCGAAGAGAAGGCACACAAACGAGCUGCAAAACGAAACAUAGGGUGAUGCUGCUUAACUACAGAAACUGUUCCUGAAGUAGCUAACAAAACUAUCGCGGUGUGACGUCAGACGCCGACAAUUGGUCUUGUGAAGCAACUCGGAACAAAGAAAUACGGCAUGGAGAGUGAAGAUGGUGACCUGGUCCAGAUUAACGACUUGUCCAGAAUGGAACAAACCUCUGCUUCCUGUUUGGAGACCUGGUCGGACAAGUCCAGCUUCAAAGACCUCAGACUGUAAAAGAAAAAAAGGUUGAUCUUCAUGAAGAUCUUCAAACAUUAGGGGUCAUGUAUUUUUAAUUCCUUUACCCCCCAGAAUGCAUUGCGUGUUGGUCACCUGGUCUGGCGAGCUCAAUAAUAUGAUCAUGAGUCUGCACAACUUUUUUGACAUAUGCGCUGUGAGCAACUCCGUAGGAAUGCCUUUACCCCCCAGAAUGCAUUGCGUGUUGGUCACAUGGUCUGGCGAGCUCAAUAAUAUGAUCAUGAGUCCGCACAACUUUUUUGACAUAUGCGCUGUGAGCAACUCCAUAGGAAUGCCUUUACCCCCCCAGUGGUGCUGUAUCCAGUUCUUAUAAUGCAUCCAUGACAAAACCUCACUCGGUCACAAGUAUCCAUUCUUACAACACCUAAGUCUCCAACUGAGCGCUCACGGUAUAAUUUACAGGUCAG